Molecule: long non-coding RNA, 293 nt
Organism: Sarcophilus harrisii (Tasmanian devil)
Lineage: Eukaryota; Metazoa; Chordata; Mammalia; Dasyuromorphia; Dasyuridae
Exons: 4
Source: RefSeq, a predicted model, not a curated record
UAAUUUCUGAACUCAAGAAGCUUAAGAUCUGCUGAAGGAAGAAAACAUACACAGGGAAGCUGAAAAAGGCACUCAAGAGUAUUGUGGAUCAGAGCUGGCCUGUAUAGAGUGCAUGUAUGACAACUCUGCUAUAAGAAAGAUUUGGGUAUUCAUAGGCUUGGCCCGAGACCUUUGAAUUCUUUAAACUCAGAAAGCAGAAUGUUUGAAGAUCCCUAAUAAGAGAACCAGGAAUGUGUAUGUAUUCACAGAAGGUCAGGAAACUGAGGCAAAGAGGUUAUAAUUACAUAUCUGGU